AGGCAGCUGGAAACGUGUGACGAGCUUUCCUGCUGCAUUGCUCCUCUCCAUCCCCGUUUCGCAACCCACCUAAGCCGAUCCGCGCCUGUAGCUCGUAAAACAAACGUUAAAACAAUGCCAUGCCUCCCUCCCCCAAGAACAGCCAACAAAGCAAACAAGCGCCACGUCCUGUAAAUGAUCCCACCAGCGCUGUACUUAAGAUUCUUACUAAAAACGGGACAUAGUUGCUGCUGCUCUCAGAAGAUAAUGAGCGGGGACUAUACAACGUCGGCAUUCACUAAAAAACAAAUCAAAAUCAAACCAACCCCAAAUAUUAAAAGAUAGACGGGAGUUCAAUGGGUGCAAGUAAAUCGUCAGGCUCAGUGAUCACUGGGCUUCCUGUGGCACCUAGUUGCUGAUACAGUGUUACGUGCAGUGGCUGGGAGGGAACUGCUGCUGACAAUGUCGGUGUGGGAGAGAAGAGAGAGGAAACAGAAGAAUCGCCAGGCUGGUAGCGGUUCACCUUGCAUGCCUUGCAAAUCUAUCUGCUAUACCCAGGAGUGGCAGUGAUCUGCAGGCGAAUCUUGGCCAUAACCACUACUCCCGGUUUUCUACUAAUUUCUCUCCUUUGAAGGGAGAGGCUGGCUCCUCGGAUAACCUGAAUUCGGAACGUCUGAAGGUGCUUUAUUAACUACACCGGCGGCAGAAGACUGCAGUUGUGAGGGGGGCUUUGUGAUGCUGCCUUCCCAUUCUAUCUGACUGUCUUUUAUUGGACCCCCAAUUCCCUCUACAUAGGUCUGAAGAGCCUUUCGGGCAGAGGGAUUUCCCGGGAUUAGGCUUCAGCAUCAGAGGCAGAUUUAGAAAAUCCAGGAUAUGCUUCAUUAAUAUGGGCCCUUUCCUUUUCUCAUGCCAGUUUUUGGUGUGUUUCAUGGCGUUUCUGUAGAUUUGGACACGAUCAGCCUUAACUAGAUAAAAUAUAUAAGCUGCAAGCUAGCAAUCUCUCUCUCUAUCUCUCUCUCUCUCACACUCAAAGGCAUCGCUUACUCUAGGGAGUAAGUGUGAACGUUAUUAUAUUUCUAGAAAUCUCCUCAGCCCUUCAGCUUUUCAUACUCAGAUGCUCACUCUCUCUUUUACUUACACACUAACAUACACACCCCACUUUGUCUUUUCCCUUAGUCUGUGGGUGUGAUUGUGCCUGUAGGAGCCACUGUCAAGGACACGAGUGACCGUCUGUUCUCUGGCUACAGUUGGCGGGAAAUCUGGGGGCAAUCUCGGUGUUCUGAGACUGGGUAGCUCAUUACCGCCUCCCAUCUCCCUGCAGCCACAUUUCCAUACAGGAUACUCAUCUGAUUUUUUUAACUUGGCCCCUCCCCCGCCCGCCUCCACUCGUCACAAACACCCAGCUCUGCACACAGACACAUUCUUCACCCACACACUUCUUGACACCCACACAUGCAAUAAAGCAACCCACCACGGUAGAGAAAACACGUGUAUCCAUGCAUAGAUACAUUUUCCAAACACACCCACCCAGAGACAUAUUUACACACACACUUGGAACCUUCUCCAUCAACACACAGCCUUGCACACAAACAUUCCUACAAACACACUCAUACAAAGGUUCUUACAACCCUCCUUCACAAACACGCAUCUUUCCCACCAAGGUGCACUACUACCUUACUUUACCCCUUCCACCCUACGUUCUUAUUCUCGCAAACAUCCAGGCUUCUACCCAGUGAGUUCUCACAGUCUCACUAAACCAUGUCCAUAUGUCUACACACACAAUAACACCCUGCCUCCUUUCUCUCUACACUCUCCACAGGCUAUACCCCUUCCCCCAGCUUUUAGAAACACCCCCUUCUAGCUCUCUCUUUACAAUGACUCCUGUGUAAGCUCCAUAAAUCCAUUUCUGUUGAUGCUGUCCCCCUUGUUCUGAGUCCGAAGCAUUGAGAAAGAAAGAAAAAAAAAACCCUUCCUUCCAGAAAUCAGUGCGAUGCUGAGAGGUCCCUCUACAAGUUUGCAAAUUGAACAGCAAGUGGUUUCAUUUUAUUUUGAUUUGGACAAAAGUCACACAGAGUGGCAGUGCUUCCCAAAACAGAACGCAGAAGAAGCUGUUCCUCAAAAGUUCACUGGAUGAAAACAUGCUUGAAAACGCAACUUCUCGGGGGCAAUUUUUGUAAGUUUCCAAAGAAAUGCGCGCUUUCCUCCUAUUAUUGAAAAAUGUAGCCAUUGCUCUUCCUUAGACUAGACAUUUCUAAUUUGUUCCGUCUGUCAGAAGGGGACUAUGAGAGGGUUUGGUGCAAAUUCAUUAUCUCUGGCAACGCAUAACGUAUAGUAGGAACUGAAAAAGACCGUGGCAAUGGAUGAACAAUAGGGCUUCAGUUCAUCUGCAACAAAAGCGUUGGGGAAAUCGGUUGAAUUUCAGAGCACGUCCUCCUCAGCAGAGAGGGCUGGACUAGACCUUGGCCAACCCUCCCCCCCCCCCCAAAAAAACUUGCAGAGCCUCACGUACAACACUUCACUUUCUACUCUGGGGCUUAGGAAGCAAUAUGGAAGAAAAAAACUUUUUUGUCUAUUUCUUCCUUGUUUUUCUGGAUAGAAGCUAAGUAUUUUAAAACCAACCAUGCAAGAUUGAUACUAUGGAACUAAGCUGCAAUUUCAGAUAAAGGUGAUGAUCUGCAUUUCUGGAGACGUGAAGGAACCCGCUGUCUGUGCUUUAAGGGGGGGCUUGACCGUAGGAUCUUUGUUUGCAGCCGGAGAUUCAGCCUUUACGUCUAGAUCGGAGGGUCAAAUAUUUCUUAUAAGAAAAAAAUUCAUAUUAAGAAGAAGGAUCACAAAAGGAUGGCAACCAUCACAAGAAAUGAGUAGAAGAUGGCUUGUGACUUAUCUUGUAGAGAAGAAUGACUGAAAUGACUGUUUGGAAUUAUUCUGGAAUUAAACUAGAAUGAGGUCUCCUCUGCCAAUGUAAGACAGAAAGAGAAGACCUAUACCCUGAAAAAUAAAAUUACAUUACUUAUUUGAGAGAGGAGCAUUUAAUCCUCAGGAUAUCCACCCCAUAAGCAGAAUAUACUUUUUCGGCAUCAACAUGUAACAUCAACAGACUCCGGUUGUUGGCAGGCAGGAUCAAACCUGGAAGUUCUGGAGUUAAAUACAUGACCCUCUACCACAUCACAACAGCUAUAUUCUACUUUAAACAAGCCAGCUGUGAGGAAAAAUGAAGUUUAGAACUGACUCUUGACACGUGAUGCACAUUUGGCAGGAGGCCAAGGCAAAUCAGAAUAAACAACCAGAAGAAAAUGCCAAAUACAGGAAAAUAACAGUAACUUACUAUGAUUUAAUGCCAAUAACGUGGUUAAGAUAAUUGAUAGGAGUGAAGUGGAACAACAGUCAGCCAGGGAGAACCUGCCUCCAUAUUUAAAAAUGAAAUUUCUUAAAUCCUGUUAUGAAGUCUGGUUAACAAUGACAUGGAGUUUUGAGGAACAAGGUCACAGCUUUGACUGUUUUUGAAUGAAAUAUACUGAAAGAAAAAGAAAAGCUUGGUCUUGAUUACCUAUAGUACAGAUUAGUUUGAAGGAAGUAAUUAUUACCAAUCUGUACCGUAACAGUUGGAUUUAACUGCAGUGUAACAUUUAAGUUCCAUAGAGCAGAGACUAUCUUACUGUUCUUAGCCUGUACAACAUAUAUCACAAUGAGACUGUUGUCCAUAACUGAGGAUCCUAGAUGCCCCCUUAAAAUAAGCAAUAUAAUAUUUCUCUUAUUCAGUGCGGAUUGUUUCUUUAGUUACUUUAAUUUUAUUUUUGAAUAUUUAUAAUUUAUCUUUAGCUCUGAGAGCAAAAUUACCAAAGGUUCUUACAUCAGAUGUGCCACUCCCAGGCUGUGUCUAGACUGGCAAGUUUUUCCGCAAAAUCAGAUGAUUUUGCGGAAAAACUUGCCAGC
This is a non-coding RNA of Pelodiscus sinensis (Chinese soft-shelled turtle), 3912 nucleotides long. Lineage: Eukaryota; Metazoa; Chordata; Testudines; Trionychidae. The record is from RefSeq and is a predicted model, not a curated record.